CCAUGAAGCUGGAUUCGCUAGUAAUCGCGCAUCAGCCACGGCGCGGUGAAUACGUUCCCGGGCCUUGUACACACCGCCCGUCAAGCCAUGGAAGCCGGGGGGUGCCUGAAGUGCGCUGCCGCAAGGAGCGCCCUAGGGUAAAACCGGUGACUGGGGCUAAGUCGUAACAAGGUACC
Molecule: ribosomal RNA, 176 nt
Filed under: uncultured bacterium
Lineage: Bacteria
Description: partial 16S ribosomal RNA
Rfam family: Bacterial small subunit ribosomal RNA
Source: RNAcentral